This 253-nucleotide ribosomal RNA is filed under the name uncultured bacterium. RNAcentral's name for it is "partial 16S ribosomal RNA". It matches the Rfam family "Bacterial small subunit ribosomal RNA", at positions 524 to 776 of the family's 1533-position model. The record is from RNAcentral.
GACGUAGGGCGCGAGCGUUGUCCGGAUUUAUUGGGCGUAAAGAGCGUGUAGGCGGCCAGGUAGGUCUGCUGUGAAAACUCGAGGCUCAACCUCGAGACGUCGGCGGAAACCAUCUGGCUAGAGUCCGGAAGAGGAGAGUGGAAUUCCUGGUGUAGCGGUGAAAUGCGCAGAUAUCAGGAGGAACACCGGUGGCGAAGGCGGGUCUCUGGGCCGAUACUGACGCUGAGGAGCGAAAGCGUGGGGAGCGAACAGG